ACUCAGUCGCCAGUGGCCAAUGGAGGGGGUUCGGAGAGCUUCCGGAUUGGUGAGCACGUGGAAAUUUGGGACGAGUGGUGCCUGGAGAGAGCACGAAAGCUCUGAACACUUACUACAUACUUUGCCCUGUGCAUCUCUUCCAUCUGGCUGUUCCUGCGUUAUAGCCUUUUGUAAUAAGCCGGUGAUCUAGUGACUCUCUAGGAAAUUCCCAAUACAGAGCAACAAUUCUGCUUUAAAGUGCCAUGUGAAAAGCGGGUACCACCAUAAUAAGAGAAUCUUCCUUACAAAGGUUGUUGACUAUCAACAUGGGAUCCAGGUAAAGCCAGAGAGGAAAGGGACAUCCCCAAGAUAUCCAGGACUCACCGCCAGGACUUUGAAUACGAAACAGAGCAGAAGAAGAUCUACAGUGGAUUCAUCCCAAGAGCUGGACCCAAAUGAAGCAGUCAACCAAUCCCUGCUGCCUGCAUCCUGCAGAUGCCUUUGUCCUUGCCAGAUUCUUCCAUCAAAUGACUCAAAACAGCAGAAGCCAUGACGAUUUCUUUAACACUGGAGGAUUGCAUUUCAUAUGGGGCAAUGGCUGCAGUUCAGAGACCAAAACAAUCAAAAGAACAUGUCAUGCAGAGUAAGGAGAUCUGACUUCACAACCUGCUAAGUUUGCUCCACUGGGAAAAAAAACUCCAUGUCGUAGUUUUCAGAUGUGCACGAUAAAAACAGUAAAAACCUAGCAUGCAUGGAUAUUUUAAGAGUGAAGAAAAAUUUCGUAUUUGAAGGUACAGACCACGCACAUAUAAGAGAGCUUCAGGGCCAGACUUUGAGGCCAAAUGCUGCAGGGCAUAAUCCUAUUAUUUCAAAGUAGAUCUCUCAUCUUUUCAUACAUGCCGUGUAACUGCCCUGAAGACAAAGACAAAGGAAUAAGCAGACAAACAAACCAAGCACCUCAGCCUAGGUUCUCUAAAAACAAACCUUAGGCAAAGUGGUAGCUGGUGCAUUCCUGGAAGCAGCAAUCCUGGCCUUUGAGAGAGCAGCUGCAGGAAUAGAGGCAGCGAAGAACGGGAAGCAGACAUAGUCGUGCUUUUUCACCACUGUUUCUCUAUACAUCCAAGACACAAGGCUGGAGGUUGGACUGAGGCACUCAGAGAACGCCCAGGAUGUCUCAGGGUGGAUAACGUGGCACGUUUGCACUUUGGAACAGGAGAGAGGCCUUCAUCUGCUGACUUCCUCCCAUCUCCCGUCUCCCAUUGGUCUAAGGUGCUCCUAGAGAGUUGACGUCUCUGCAUUUCUACUUUCUACGUUGCUUCUCCUGGCCCCUUCAACUCGGGCCUGAUGCUUCAACCAAGUCUGGAAAUGCUGGGAGAUGCCUGAGAUUGGGCAUGUGGCUUGUCAGCCUCUGGUGGUGGAAUUAUGUGUAUCUACCACGCGGGCAGAAACGUGGGGGACUGGAGAAGGUAAGAGGAUCUGGGAGAGCACCCACAAUGACCUGCAUCAUGGGACUGUCUUAAAAAUUGUACCUUGCAGCUUGUUCUUCAUAGGUUAGAUAUUGAGGGUCUUCUGGCAUGGCUUACAUGGACCAGCCCUUGCACUAAUAUAUAUCUAUUUGAUGUGUAAAAGAGACUAACAUAUGGGGUUCUGUACAGGAUGAUGAGAAAAAGCAGGUUUAAUAUGUAAAGCAAUGAAAAGUACCAUUUGCUUUUGUUUUUAGUGUUAAGAAAAUACAAAAUACCAAAGAAGUCUUUUAGAAAACAACACAAAAUUAUUAUCACAUGUAAUCCUCUUCUAAGAUAAAUGUUUUCGUUGUAGCACAUUAAUUUUUGUCAUCCAAAUAUUGUAGGAAAGUUGAAAUUUACAUACCUUCUCAAGUACUAAGAUUUUUUCUAACGUUCUAAAAAUGUUCUCAACUUGCUUUGGAAUUCCUCCUGCUGAAGGCACUGUAAGGCCUCAAACUUUCCAAUCAAAGCUUUUGUGCUGAUUAAAACAGUUUUUCAGGUUAGUUUCAAGCGUGUCAGAAUAUGUUCCCCUCCCCUCUUUUCCUAGGUAAGAUGAUAUCUAAGACUGAAGGGGAGCUUAAAAUUAUCUAACAUUAUGAGAAUUUUAUUAAAUAAUACUCAAUGUCCGUCAUUUUUUAUCUCAU
This is a long non-coding RNA of Diceros bicornis minor, 2128 nucleotides long. RefSeq lists it as uncharacterized. The record is from RefSeq and is a predicted model, not a curated record. NCBI's taxonomy places the organism in Eukaryota, Metazoa, Chordata, Mammalia, Perissodactyla, Rhinocerotidae. The transcript has 6 exons.